CCAAUAGCGUAUAUUAAAGUUGUUGCAGUUAAAAAGCUCGUAGUUGAAUUUCGGGAUUCAUCCGUUGGUCGGGCUUCACGGUCCGUACUGGUGUGAUGGGUUCCUACCUUCUGAAUAACCGGCAUGCCAUUAAUUUGGUGCGCCGGGGAAGCAGAACUAUUACCUUGAAAAAAUUAGAGUGCUUAAAGCAGGCAAGUGCCUGAAUAGGUUGGCAUGGAAUAAUAAAAUAGGACGGCAUGGUUCUAUUUUGUUGGUUUCUAGGAUCACCGUAAUGAUUAAUAGGGAUAGUUGGGGGCAUUAGUAUUCAAUUGUCAGAGGUGAAAUUCUUGGAUUUAUUGAAGACUAACUUCUGCGAAAGCAUUUGCCAAGGAUGUUUUCAUUAAUCAAGAACGAAAGUUAGGGGAUCGAAGACGAUCAGAUACCGUCGUAGUCUUAACCAUAAACUAUGCCGACUAGGGAUCGGACGAUGUUAAUUUUUUAAUGACUCGUUCGGCGCCUUACG
Molecule: ribosomal RNA, 502 nt
Filed under: uncultured Glomeromycotina
Lineage: Eukaryota; Fungi; Glomeromycota
Description: partial small subunit ribosomal RNA
Rfam family: Eukaryotic small subunit ribosomal RNA
Source: RNAcentral